Molecule: non-coding RNA, 24 nt
Filed under: Cricetulus griseus (Chinese hamster)
Lineage: Eukaryota; Metazoa; Chordata; Mammalia; Rodentia; Cricetidae
Source: RNAcentral
UCUGAGCCAUCUCUCCAGCCCAUU